Long non-coding RNA from Oncorhynchus tshawytscha (Chinook salmon), 7952 nucleotides. NCBI's taxonomy places the organism in Eukaryota, Metazoa, Chordata, Actinopteri, Salmoniformes, Salmonidae. The record is from Ensembl.
GCUGAUUCAACUUGUUAGCCAGUGUUCGUGCAGAUAACCAAGAAUAUACAACUUUCAGAUGAGACUGAAUUAAGGUAACGAUUAAUAUUGACUGCUAUUGAUGUAAAAUAUUACUAUGCCUUUAAGAGUUUAUUCGGAAGAUAACAGCUCUAUAAAUAGUAUUUUGUGAUGCCCGACUCUCUAGUUAAUUACAUUUACAUGAUUAGCUCAAUCAGGUAAUAGUAAUUACGGAGAAAUAAUUUUAUAGAAUAGCAUGUCAUGUUACUUAAUCCGGCAUAGCCAAAGGCACGACAUUAUUGGAGCCCCCUGAUAGGAAUCUAAAAUAGAAUGAUGCUUUCAUUUUGAAUCAGCCUGUGUAAAAUUGAAAACAGAUUACAUAAUAUACCAAGUUUAUCGUACACAUUUUUGGAGUGAUAGAGACAAGCAUUAUUGGGUGUGUGUGCUGAGGAUUCCCCGCCUCCGUGUUGUUCUCUGACGUAGUCAGUGGGUAACAUAAGCGAAUACAUUUCUGUAUUGAUAAAGCUAAUUAUAGAAAUUUGAGAAAUAGAGCGUUUGGCCAAACGCAGGGCUAUUUCUGCCUGGUGCGUUUCAGACGUGGGUAGGCUCGGUCAUUAUUAAUUUCUCGAGCAAGGACAAAGAGCCAGCCGAUUGAAAUUCAGGAGAUAUAAGCCAGCGAUAUAUAUCUCUGUCUCUCUCGUGAGUAGACCAAGGCGCAUUUAGUUGUUGCCGCGUGUUCCGGUUAAAACAUUGUCAAAAAAAAACGCGAAAAGGGUUUGAACAUAAUACGUUAUAAGUAAAACCUUUCCCUUACCAAGGAAUCCUAUGUGCUGCAUUUUCAGGCACAAGGGAGAUAGCCAUUUUGUUUACUUGUGCUACGUUGAAAUUCCUCCGCCUUGCGGAACGGAAGUCCCGCCCUGGGUUUUCAGUGUGUGAAAUCAUUGACCGCUGAUGUGACCUAGUAUAUUCUUUCAUGAAGAAUUAUUCAGGUCACACUCAAGUCAUUACUUAUGAUAUCCAGACGGAUAUCAACGUCUUAUCCAAUUGAACUAAUAAGUGUAAAUCUGGCAAUUUACAUUCUGAAAUAGAUAUUUUAAAGAAUAUCCAAAUUGAUGAGUUUUCUAAAUAAAACAUGGUAAACUUUUCCCAAACUAACCUAGAUGAAGCAACUUCUCAGGUUAAUUCAAUUUUAAUUCCCAAUUAGCCUAUACAGGUCUGAUUUAUCAUUAAAUUGAUCAAUCAGUAACAUUUGGUUUUUGCAAAACCCAUUCAGUAAUCCAGUACUGACAGAAGCACCGCCCCAGCGGGAAUCCCAUGUGGCUUCGGCCUUAGGGAGAAGUGUACCAUAGUGGUGAAUGUUCCCAACAUUUGAUCUACUGUUUACACUUAUAAUAUCCAAUCAAUGGAGAUUGUACGGAUUAUCGUCUCAUUCAAUUCAAUAAAUUAAAUUGUUGAACAUACCUUAAUGUUCUUCCAAUCAAAUGAGACACUUUUAAACUUCUCAUAUUAACCUAGAUGAAACAACUUCUCAGGGUAAUUAAAGUUUAAUACCCAGAUAGCCUACCCAGGUAGGAUUAAUCAUUGGCAUUGAUUAAUUAAUUAAAUUUGCUUUUGCAAAUUCAUUCACGUCCAACUUCCACAUUACUGGUACAGUACUGAUAGUUCAUCAACGUCUAUAAAUAGAUUAAACUUGUCUUUGCAGCUUCCAAUGAAUUCCAAGCCCAAACUUUGAACAAAAUAGGAAAAUAUUUCCUCUAAAUUUUUCUAAUAAUGUGCAAGCUAUCAAAGGAGGUGGUCACCACUCCUCCGCUAAUUAGUGAACCUCCACCCAUAAAAGGAUUGAUCUCUGACCUCAGCAGCGAUACCAUCCCUAAUUAUGUCAUUAGCGAAAAAAAAGCCGAAAUUGCGAAUGCUCUCCAAAAUCAACCAUCAAACACAGGCUUUGUGACGGUUCUCCCCACUUUUGCACUGAUGUAUCGCCAUAAAAAUGUGGCAUCGGUCCAAUACCACAGUGCACAGCUGAAGCACGUACCAGACAUGGCUAACAUGAGGGGUGUCGCGGUAGGGGAUUUUGCUAUAGGACCGUUAAGGUACCCCCGUCAAGAGUGAUACAAGUUGUCUCACUCAAGUUCUUAUGUCACCCUGCUAACAGGUGACUCACAGGUCCGGUCCAGACUGACCUGGUUAUGUAUCCUGCCCUUUUAUUCGGAGAUUAGCCUUGUGUGAUGCCGUUAGGCUUGUUUCGGGAUCUUAGAUAAUAUCAAUCUUUACUUUCACUUUACUUUCACUUUUCCUUUGUAUGCCCUUAUAUCUGGACUCACGCAAGCUAUAACUUGGUUACGAUUUACAGUCUAUGUCCGUCGACUAAUACUGCUUGAGUAUUAAUGUAGAGUAUCACUAUUACAAUAAAAUGAUUAUUCUGUCCAAACCAUUAUAUUGUCUUUAGUGUAGAACCUAGACUCGUUUCCCUAGAUUGGGAGUGUCAGAGGUGUUCUCUCCCAUUAGGGUUUUGGGUCUAGUUUCUACCUUUUAUUCAAUGUUUGCAGUUCACACAGUUGUACACGUUAAUACAGUUUAUUUUUGGUUCUUAAUCUAUAACAUCAAACAUCAUCAAAACACUUACUACUAUUAAUGCCUUAUAUAUGUAUUACAAGAAGCGAUUAAUUACCUUAGCGUAGGUUGACCUGGUUGGUCCCCAAAGAGGUCCUCACAAUUGUUCUAGAGGCUUAUCCAAUCACUCAGUAUCUGUUUCUCCUACUAGAAGUUUGUACUAUGAUUUACUGAUUAGUGAAGAGAACGGUUUGAGAUCAAGUCCCUUUGUAACACCACUGUUGCUAUUUAUCCACUCCUGUUAGGAACUGGAUGUAUUCAGCACAAGGAUUGUACUGGGUAGCAGUCUCAGUAUGUCUCAUCCAGAAAUCAGAAGUCAAGAGAUACAAUUGUUCUAGAGUAUGAAAGUCAGAUAUUACCUUUUAGGUUGAUGAUAGUUGAAGUAUCACAAGCUAUCUGUCAGUGAUAAGUCAAGUAGCACUAUCAUGCCUUUCCAUUGAAAGCAUGCUUCUUAUAUACUCUUUCUUCAGGACCAAGUCAACCCAUGCUCUGAAUUGUAUUUUUAAAGCGGCGUAUCCUCGUGUCCUCGCACUGAAGUGCGAGUUGCACUUCAGUGCUAGUUGCUAGUUGGAGUGCUUCUGGUGUCUGUGUCUAUGCAUCAUCUAAACCCAAAUCUUCCAUCAAGUUCACCCAGGGUGAGGUGUCCUCAAAGCUCUUUUUUUGUGCUCUUGCGUCAGGGGACAGGUGGAGAGAACUGAGCAACUAUUGACAAAAGCAGGAAAUGAAAACAUUCUGCUAGUCGAGGAACUGUGUUUGAAAUCUGAACAAUUAAAAGUAAUUGCAAAUACUUAUGACGAUGAACGAGCACUAACUCUUCAACAAAAUCGUGGUCUCCAGGAACAACUCGAUUUAGCCAAAACUAAAUACGAUGCAGUCCACUCCAAACUAGAUAAAUCUGUUGAGUUAUCUACAAACAGGAGCGCGCAAUUUGAUAACAUGCAGGUAGUUUUGUUGAACGUCACUCAGAGUAACACGGUUCUACUCAAAAUUCUGCAGACCAAAGACGAUCAGUUGAUGAACACAAUGACUAAGUUGGGUGACAAAUCAGCAGAACUCAUUGAAGCCGCUGACCAAAUGAAUGAUGAGAGAACUCGGGUGAUGAAGAUGGAAAUAUUGAUUUCCAAGCAAGAGGAAGAAAUAUCAUCACUGAAUCUCUCGCUCCGUACUCAAGACCUCUAUCUGCAAACCAUGACAGAUAAGUUUGAGACCAAAAGGAGCAAGUGCAACACUCACGUGUCCAAAAUCAGUGCUCUAAAGCACUCAAGUGGACUCUGCAAUGCAGCAGAAUACCACCCCUAGGUACCAUCUGGAGGAAGUCCAGAAUGGUCACGCUCUACAUCGUGACUAUCCAUCCAAGCAACCGGAGCCCGGUACUCAAAGGAGUGAAGACGAUAGGUUUCAGACAUUGCCUCCAUCAUGUGUCCCUCAGUCUUUUCCUCUUGGCCAUUUGGCACUGAGUAAUAUGUUGCCUCUUGGCCAACAAAGCCAAAGCUUGGCUUCUUCUCUUGGCCUUUCGGCCCCACUUUUUUUUUCUUCAGCCAAACGAUACUGAGACGUUCCUAGCUGACAUAGAGGAUGCGUUGGAUGGCUACCCGAAAGCUACGGGUUCUGACAGAGUUUACCUGUUGAAGCGAACGUCGAAUAGACACGUGACGAGGUUAAUUCGCCUACAACAGCAACACGUGCUAAAUGACUAUGCUAAACUUGCCACAGCUCUGAAAUUAGAAUUCAGUGGUUCUGUAACUCUCAAACAUGAUAGCUCACUGGCUAACACGGUCAAACAAGCUCGGAAUGAACACCCACAAGCUUACUAUCAUAUGCUUCGUUCAGCGUACUUUGGCCUACUCACUGAAACAGGCAUGGAAGAAGACAUGUUACCAUUUAAACAAAUGUUCCUGUCGAACAUGUAUCCUACCAUCAUUACCUACUUGGGCCCUGCCGCCCACGUUGGCUUGCCUAUCUUACAACUCAGAGAGCUUGCAAGCACAGCUUUUGAGGCAUCAAAAGUUCGCAACGCUAAGAGCCCUGACCAUUCGGUUUUGAAGUUUGACCAGGAGCACUCACUCCAGUUAGAGGGUGCAUUAUCAGGUAUUGGAGCGUUGAGAGAUGACGCACAACAACAGUUUCUACCACGAAACCAUGAUUCCAAUAACCUCCGCGGUCUAAAUAACUGUAAAGUACGUCGCCAUCAAAACGAUAAAAGAAAGGGUAAAAGAUAAGUCACAAGGACUAGACGAGGAACUACCGGACACCAGGUCCGCAGGAAUUAACACCCAUAGCAAGGACGUUAAAAUUCAAAUUUCGAGACCCUAUACAGGGCCCGCUUGAUCAAGAAUCAUGCCCACGGGCUUUGUCUAUAGACUCUGAUACAAAGGUUGCGAAGAAAAAGGUGAAACGCUUCGUUAAAGCCAAGCCCACUCAAAAUCUGAAAAGUCGAUUUGCUUCCACCUUGAACAGAAUUGACACAUCACGUCGUUGCGAACGACCACUCCACUUUUUGGGGAAUAUGUCCACUAAACACGAAUCGAAACGACCAUACCUGGAAACAGUCCUGGCGGACUGCUUAACUUGUCAUGUGUUAAUUGAUUCGGGUGCGACAAUAUCACUCAUCUCUCAAAUAUUGUUUGAUGAUCUAAAAACGGCUUUGAAGCCAACUAAACGUUGGUUAAAAGUGGAACGAUGCAACACUACACUUCGAGGGGUCACUCAGACUACCUCGCCUCUUACAUUGAGAGUCAUGCUGAAACUACACUUCAAGGACGUAUCGCUCGUUCACCCUGUGUAUGUUACCAGCCUCAAAACUGUACACCUCCUACUUGGAGCAGACUUGAUGGAUCGGUUACUCCCAUUGAUGGAUUGGAAAACCAACCAGGUAUGGUCACAAUCUACAGUGCCUUCUCCACCGACCACACUGUCUCCCCCUAACGCUAGCUGCAUCGCAGUCAUUCAAAAGGGGUAUCUGUCGAAAGCACCCCUUGGGAAAAAGACGUUUAGAAAACACUUGGUGCAGAAUCCGAUCCAAGGAGAUAUUACGAUAUCUCGACACAUUCCAUCAGCCAAUCUGAUUGAAAAUUAUUUUCAUGAUUUCGAGCCAGUUGUCUCUGUGAAUGAGCAACUUCCCUCCUCCUUGCAGUCCUGCAAUACGGUAGUUGAGAUGAAUUAUCCGAUGACACACCUUCCGCUUUGUGGGGGACUGUCAACCCUUACAAUGACACUAAUGGCAUCAGUCCAGCAACUGACCCGAUGACUCCCACUGGUGAAACACUUUGCGAUAUCACAGACCGACAUCCUCAUCUCAGUUUGCAGGUACUGAAGAGGUUGCCACACGCGGACGCGGUGGUGACUGACAGACCUCGACAGCCACUGAGGGUGUUGAAGCACAAACACCAGGAGAUUUGGUUGAAAGGUUACAGCCACUCUCAUAAUAACGCGGCCACUGACAACUCAUACAUGGGGUCCGAAAUGUUUGUUUGCGCCUCAGAUACCAACACCACCCGCUGGUGGGGGGAUCCCGAGACACAAAUGGGGGGAAUAGUAGCCCAGACCCAUGAUGAGCCUUAUCGAGGCCUGUGGAGGGGGGGUCGAGACUACGGACAACACCUUACGCGGCAACCAGAGCAUAAAUCAAAUCUAGUUGUAAACUCCCCUUUGAGAACAGUGAGGAGCAGACAGGCCCCUAGACGGGGAUUAUCUUAGAACACAUCUAAGAUAGUACUGAGGUGUACCACACUGGUCGUAAAGGAAGUCCAGUGGACUUGUCCACCUCCAAAACAAAUGGCAACACUAAUCAUUCCUUGCCGUGCUUCUACACCUGCAUUGCUUGCUAUCUGGGGUUUUAGGCUGGGUUUCUGUACAGCACUUUGAGAUAUCAGCUGAUGUACGAAGGGCUAUAUAAAUACAUUUGAUUUGAUUUGAUGUGUAGUAGUCACUACAAGACAACUAGUAAAAUGCUCUAAUCAUGUAUUCCUGUCGGAUAACAUUUCAGAAUAAAUCGGUAGGACAACUGGACCCCUUGAGUACCAGUACCAAUACCACGGUCAGUCCAGCAACACUCAGUAAGAGGAUUAGUAACCUCACAAGUUAAAUUGCUAUUGAUAAUAGCAACAUAGGAGUCACUCAGAGUGCAACACGGGGAAGGGAAUCUCCAUUGCACUCUUCCAAUGGUUAACACACAUGCCACUAAUAAAUAGAACCCUCCAUUCAGGAGAAAAGUUAUUAGAAGUCAUGAACCACGAUCACCCCACGUACGACUGGUCUAAUACUUAGAGUACUUCCGUCAUGAUGUUAGCUCCUCCGUGGAUAACAUAGCUAUGAAGUAUACUUCUUCAUACCUACCGCCACUACAACAGUGGAAGACAGUGACUGGUAGUAAAACCACUACAGACUCCCUCGACACCAAUUCUGACUGACCUCCAGGCAUUGACCUGAAAAUUACCUGACUACGUCAGACUCAUUCUGAACAAGUUGUAAUCUGCCAGGAUAAUUGGUUUCCUUCCUUUGACAUGUGCGCUUGCGUAAACAUGAACUCACAUGAACAACGGAACAUCCAAUUAGGAUUUAUGCUAGGAUCACUUAAGGGUCCGAGCAAAAUACCAGCCUUAGCAAAGUUUAACAUUUAUUUUGAGGCCUUUUUAUCUCUACAGCUACAGCACUCACCAGUUUUCUUCUCAGAAGUCUAUAGGUCAUCCCUGUUGACUGCCCAAAACUAGUGCCUUACAGCUGUAGACUUAUCAUAUAGUUAUCAACUUAGGAUAGUACCCUAAGCAACACCCCGCAAAGUAGGAAAGCCCUAGAUAUGAAAUUAGACAAUGCCAUGAUAGGGUCAUUUUUCCAAGACCAUGGACAUAGAUAGAAUACAGUCCAAUUAGAUGAUUAAGGGGGCAUAACUAUAUUUGGUUUUGUUUAUGCUUUCAUUCAUUUUGUUUCAUUUUCUUCGGCACGUAGAAAGUGAUAGAGUCAUAAACAACUUCCCCAUACAACCACAACGCCGCUCAUUUGGGAGGAAAUGUAAUGAUAUAUUUCAUGAGUGUGUGUGCGUUGUUAACAUCUGCCUAAGUUACUGCCCAGAUCUUCCAGUCUGGAGGACCAGACGAUGGGUCCGGAACGGCGAUCCCAAUCCGGACACCCGCUGCCGAGCCAUGGAGCGGACUUCUUCAUUUGCAGACACCCUACCCGGGUCGACCACACCAGAGGGGGGAGACUGCAGUGGCAUUCCCAAUCCGGACACCCGCUGCCGAGCCAUGGAGCGGACUUCUUCAUUUGCAGACACCCUACCCGGGUCGACCACCAGAGGGGGGAGACUGCAAUGGCGCUCCCAAUCCGGACAUCCGCUGCCGAGCCAUGGA